This 232-nucleotide ribosomal RNA is filed under the name uncultured bacterium. RNAcentral's name for it is "partial 16S ribosomal RNA". It matches the Rfam family "Bacterial small subunit ribosomal RNA", at positions 335 to 583 of the family's 1533-position model. The record is from RNAcentral.
GCCCCUACGGGGCGCAGCAGUGGGGAAUAUUGCGCAAUGGGGGCAACCCUGACGCAGCAACGCCGCGUGAUUGAAGAAGGCCUUCGGGUUGUAAAGAUCUUUAAUCGGGGACGAAUUUCUACGGUACCCGAAGAAUAAGCUCCGGCUAACUACGUGCCAGCAGCAGCGGUAAUACGUAGGGAGCAAGCGUUAUCGGGAUUUACUGGGAGUAAAGGGCGAGUAGGCGGGCAUG